Molecule: non-coding RNA, 240 nt
Organism: Arachis ipaensis
Lineage: Eukaryota; Viridiplantae; Streptophyta; Magnoliopsida; Fabales; Fabaceae
Source: RefSeq, a predicted model, not a curated record
UAGACUCUUGAAGGAAUGAUUUUACCUUCAAAUACCCAAGCAUUUCUUGCUAAUCAGAUUUGCCAUAAGAGAGCUUGAAUCUGCUACGACAGAUUUGAACAUUUCCAAGCUUCAGUCACAUCUGGGCACUCCCAGAAACAAUGAAAAAACGCUUUCUUGUGACCGAUUGCAUUUUGGGCACCAGGAUUCGAUAGAUUGUAUUCGAGCAUUCAACCUUUCUUUCACAGGGAGUCCUCUGUG